UGCGGGGUGGUCCAGUCGGUAAGACGCCGGCCCCAUACGCCGGAGAUCGCGGGUUCGAACCCCGCCCCCGCCA
This 73-nucleotide transfer RNA is filed under the name Bifidobacteriaceae bacterium. RNAcentral's name for it is "tRNA-Met". It matches the Rfam family "tRNA". From Rfam's summary of the family: Transfer RNA (tRNA) molecules are approximately 80 nucleotides in length. Their secondary structure includes four short double-helical elements and three loops (D, anti-codon, and T loops). Lineage: Bacteria; Bacillati; Actinomycetota; Actinomycetes; Bifidobacteriales; Bifidobacteriaceae. The record is from RNAcentral.